GAUGAACGCUGGCGGCGUGCCUAAUACAUGCAAGUCGAGCGAACGGACGAGAAGCUUGCUUUUCUGAUGUUAGCGGCGGACGGGUGAGUAACACGUGGAUAACCUACCUAUAAGACUGGGAUAACUUCGGGAAACCGGAGCUAAUACCGGAUAAUAUUUUGAACCGCAUGGUUCAAAAGUGAAAGACGGUCUUGCUGUCACUUAUAGAUGGAUCCGCGCUGCAUUAGCUAGUUGGUAAGGUAACGGCUUACCAAGGCAACGAUGCAUAGCCGACCUGAGAGGUGAAUCGGCCACACUGGAACUGGGACACGGUCCAGACUCCUACGGAAGGCAGAGGUAGGAAAUCUUCCGCAAUGGGCGAAGGCCUGACGGAGCAACGCCGCGUGAGUGAGGAAGGUCUUCGGAUCGUAAAACUCUGUUAUUAGGGAAGAACAUAUGUGUAAGUAACAGUGCACAUCUGACGGUACCUAAUCAGAAAGCCACGGCUAACUACGUG
This 496-nucleotide ribosomal RNA is filed under the name uncultured bacterium. RNAcentral describes it as "partial 16S ribosomal RNA". It matches the Rfam family "Bacterial small subunit ribosomal RNA", at positions 28 to 507 of the family's 1533-position model. The record is from RNAcentral.